RNAcentral lists this ribosomal RNA (322 nucleotides) under uncultured eukaryote. RNAcentral's name for it is "partial 18S ribosomal RNA". It matches the Rfam family "Eukaryotic small subunit ribosomal RNA", at positions 1470 to 1796 of the family's 1831-position model. The record is from RNAcentral.
CCCUUAGAUAUGCUGGGCGGCACGCGCGCUACAAUGGGGAGCGAAAUACGCAGCUCCCUUGCAAUGGGGGAGCUAAGCGUGGAAACGACGCCGUGAGUGGGAUAGUUGUCUGAAAUUUCUCUACUUGAACGUGGAAUCCCUUGUACGGACUUCCUAGAAUGGAGUUUGGAAUACGUCCCUGUGGAAUGUACACACCGCCCGUCGCACCUACCGAUUGAAUGGUCCGGUGAAGCCUCGGGAUUGUGGCCAGUUCACUUUAUUGGGAGUUGGCUGUGAGAACUUGUCUAAACCUUAUCAUUUAGAGGAAGGUGAAGUCGUAACA